RNAcentral lists this long non-coding RNA (3224 nucleotides) under Trifolium pratense (red clover). RNAcentral's name for it is "long non-coding RNA (TPRA_LNC003554)". The record is from RNAcentral. Lineage: Eukaryota; Viridiplantae; Streptophyta; Magnoliopsida; Fabales; Fabaceae.
CAAGGUUCAGUUGGGGUUUUCAUUUGUUGGACCGUGACCGUGAAAGAUCUCUCUCGUGGUAUUCGAAGAAAAACGAAACACUAGUUACUUCGCUUCGUUUUGUACAAUGGCGCAAGAGCAAUACUCAUCAACGCGACUAUCGAUGAUCGAUGCAGUACCUGUAUUUCUCGUUCUUCUAAUAGCAGCUCAUGUUCUCGGACUGGUAAUUUUUUUUCUUCACUUUUCAUUCUUCUCCUUAAUUCUUCUAUUCUUAAACCACCGCGUACUUAUCCGAUCCACCACAGGUAUUUUGGAUUUACAAAUUAGCAACUCAGAAACAGCCACUUCAGCGGCGAAAGGCUCACUAAAGAAGAAGGUUGGUGAUCCAUGAACCCUAAUUUAUCUCAGUCACUGUGUUUACUUGCAAUUUUAUAGGCGUUGUGGUUUUUAGCACUCACGAUUUGAACUAAAUUAAAUGGAUCGGUUUGAAGUUUAAAUUCAUGUAUUGCUGAGAUUUUAAAUUACUGUUUCAUGUAGUAGAACAGAAGCUUUUGAGUUUAACAAAUUUUUAGGUUUUUCUCCCUUUCCUUAUCCGUGCAGUUCUGGUAAACUAGUAAAUUUUUCUAGUAAUGCUCCCCCAAAAUAGUGUUCAAAAUAAUGCUCCCCCAAAAAUCAAAAAUAGAAACUAGUAAAUUUUUUAGCUGGUUAGUAAUUAGUAUUGUUAGUUUUUUGAUGUGGACUUCCUUAUCACUCCACUCCCUAUCUCAUUCACCCUAGCCACAGUUAGGUUGUAUUUCUAACCUACAAGUUUGUUAACUAAUACAAAUUUUGGUAGAUUUUUCUUGAUCUGUGUCUUUUUAUAGUUUUCCUAGCACAUAUAGGAUUGCAUGAGUAUGUCGAGAGCAGUAAAAUUGAUUAUCUGGUUCGCGAUCUUUGGUGUCUAUUACUUUUUACUUUUUAGGUUUGCAUGAGUAUGCAUUGUUUAAUGAUAUGAACUAUGAAGCAUACAUGAUGGAGUGAGUAUGAAGUUCAAUCUGUAGUUAUGUUAUUGACAUUAUGAACCAGUUUGAAAUAAGAUUUUAUGUUAUUUCAGAGAUCUUGCAAGUUGCAAAAAUAGCAGGAUAAGGAGUAUAUUCUGGGUAUGCAAGCCCUUAUCAUGAUAAAUGAAAAAAUUCUAUUGAAGAGAAGGAUAAAAAAUAACUCGUACAUUCAUGGGCAAUAAGUAUUAGUGUUUCAUCUUUAGGCACUGAGUACUAUUAAAGAUUUUCUUUUUCCAUGCAAUUCAAAAGCAGUGGUUUCUAUUGUCGUAAAACAAAAUAACCUCCAUAGAAACCGCAACCUAGUUCAGGCUUAGUCAUGUUAAAGCCGUGAUUGUUGAAGUUGUCGAUGAAGUCUAGCCAUCCUCCUUAUCAUGAUUUUUCCAAGCAACAUGUUGAUAGAAGAUGCCAAAGAUUGUUAGAAGUUAAAAGUUGAGAAAUACAAGUUGGCAGUGUUGCACUCAUCGAUUAUAUAAUGAGCUAUGAGUUUGCACUUAAUAAUAGUGUCAAAAUUGAGUUCGUUAAAUAUAUUUCUCUACAAUGAAGUUUGUCAAAAUAUUGUUAAUGAUCUGAUUGAUAGGUUUCUAACUUUUAUCGAGAAACUUAAUGUUACAUCUGUCUAUAUGAAACAUGCCCUGUAACAUUAAUAGUGCACUAACUGUCCAUUGCCCAACCAUAUCUUGGGAAUUUAGGUUAUGUUAUCCUCACAAUCAAAUGUCCUUUUGCUUGAUUUUUCAAUUUUCUUUCUGUGUGCAUGUUUUAAGACUUCGUGAAUCAACCUUGGAAAUACGGUGGCUGUUCAAAAGCUAAUACUAUGAAUAGUUAAAAGUUCAACAUCUUAUAAUUCUAUUUUCUUAUUUAAUACCUGUUCAUGCAUAUGAAAUGUAUGGUUUUGUUAUUCAUAUAAUUCUUUAGUUGAGUAUUAUGUUUAUUGGGAUUUAUUGUAGCCAGAUACUUUGCUCUUUGAAGUUCUUGACAAAAAUAAUGGUUUGGGUAUAAUCAAUUUUGGAAGAACAUUUGAGCAAAUAUGCAUCUUUGGGUGCGAAAUGUUCAAUGCUACUGUGUCUGAAAAUUUAAGCAGUUUUUGCCAAACUAAGGCUUCAACUUAAACCAAUUCUUGAUGCAAUUGUUGGUAUUAUUUACGACAAACAUCACUCAAAGUACUUCUUUAUAUCUCUUUUUUUGUGUGGGGGUAUUUCUUAUGGAUGUGAAUGCUUGUUUCAACUAUCACAGAUACAUAUCUGUAUGACAUUAGAUAUAUCUUAGAUUGCAAGUGCUAACUUGCCCAUCUCUAGUUAACUCCAGACCAGCUUAAAUUCUGUAUUGUGUAUUGUAUGCAUAGCUCAACUAGGGAAGCACUUAUCAGUUGUUGAAUUGAAUUCUGGGAACUGAAAUGACUUUCUAGCGAAGUAAUUUAUUCUAUUACAUUUGCAGGAAAAAGUUUGCAUCCUUGGAGAAAAGAAAUCUUGCUGCUGACUGCUUUGGGAAAUUGUCAAUGCUCUGAAAGUGGCUAGCUAUAAAAUAUUGUUCAUUUUCCUCCAGGUCUUGUGAGAUUGUUUGAAGUAGGAAUCUAUACUUAAAUUUAUAUUUGGUCAUUGCAUGUGUUACUUGUCAGUUGUCACUAGUUAUUUAUCAGUCAAUCUUCCUUUACAAAACUCAGACAGAAUUUGAGUCGAUGAAGUGCAUUAUUAGGGGUAAAAUUAAUAGUGCAAGUUGCUAUUCUGAUGCUUGUUAAUUUGUUGGUAUGCCUUGGGCUAUAUCAGUAUGUUUAAGAACAUAGUAGUAGCGUAUGUUUUCUGAUAGAAGAAUAUUGUAGUAGAAUAUUCACCUUAUUUACCAGAACAGGAUGAUAUGUUCUAUUAUUAUAAGGGUGCUGUUAACAUGUGCAUAUAGGGCACAUAUUAAGGUAUCUAUAAUUAGAAAUUUGCAUUUAAUAUUACAAACAAAUUUAAUGCUUAAAAGAUAUAAUAUACAUGUUUCGAGAGAAUAUUUCUAUAUUUGUAUUGUUAACAUGUGCCUUAGGUGCACAUGUUAACAUUUGCCUUAUUAUAAAUAGUAAAUUGUUAGAAAUAAUCAUCUAAGCAGUAAGUUAAAACAAAGGUUUAAUUAUUCUGAUUAAGGUUUGUAAAAUGUGACGAUUUGCUGUUAGUAAUGUUCAGUGUUUCAUCGUAAAUCAUCAAUUUUUGUUGAAUUGUUCUACUUCUUUCU